RNAcentral lists this ribosomal RNA (540 nucleotides) under uncultured bacterium. RNAcentral's name for it is "bacterial SSU rRNA". It matches the Rfam family "Bacterial small subunit ribosomal RNA", at positions 355 to 896 of the family's 1533-position model. The record is from RNAcentral.
UGAGGAAUAUUGGUCAAUGGACGGAAGUCUGAACCAGCCAAGUAGCGUGCAGGAUGACGGCCCUAUGGGUUGUAAACUGCUUUUGUAUGGGGAUAAAGUCAAUCACGUGUGAUUGUUUGCAGGUACCAUACGAAUAAGGACCGGCUAAUUCCGUGCCAGCAGCCGCGGUAAUACGGAAGGUUCGGGCGUUAUCCGGAUUUAUUGGGUUUAAAGGGAGCGUAGGCCGGAGAUUAAGUGUGUUGUGAAAUGUAGACGCUCAACGUCUGACUUGCAGCGCAUACUGGUUUCCUUGAGUACGCACAACGUUGGCGGAAUUCGUCGUGUAGCGGUGAAAUGCUUAGAUAUGACGAAGAACUCCGAUUGCGAAGGCAGCUGACGGGAGCGCAACUGACGCUGAAGCUCGAAGGUGCGGGUAUCGAACAGGAUUAGAUACCCUGGUAGUCCGCACAGUAAACGAUGGAUGCCCGCUGUUGGUACCUAGUAUCAGCGGCUAAGCGAAAGCAUUAAGCAUCCCACCUGGGGAGUACGCCGGCAACGGUG